GUGAGGAAUAUUCCGCAAUGGGGGAAACCCUGACGGAGCAAUGCCGCGUGCAGGAUGAAGGCCCUCGGGUCGUAAACUGCUUUUAUAUGAGAAGAAUAUGACGGUAACAUAUGAAUAAGGGACGGCUAACUACGUGCCAGCAGCCGCGGUCAUACGUAGGUCCCAAGCGUUAUCCGGAGUGACUGGGCGUAAAGAGUUGCGUAGGCGGCUCGUUAAGCGUGAAAUGAAAUUUAUCGGCUCAACCGGUAAACUAUUUCGCGAACUGACGGGCUCGAGAGUAUGAGAGGUUACUGGAAUUUCUAGUGUAGCAGUGAAAUGCGUAGAUAUUAGAAAGAACACCAACGGCGUAGGCAGGUAACUGGCAUACAUCUGACGCUGAGGCACGAAAGCGUGGGGAGCGAACCGGAUUAGAUACCCGAGUAGUCC
This 426-nucleotide ribosomal RNA is filed under the name uncultured bacterium. Its description in RNAcentral is "partial 16S ribosomal RNA". It matches the Rfam family "Bacterial small subunit ribosomal RNA", at positions 354 to 796 of the family's 1533-position model. The record is from RNAcentral.